CAGCUGUGCACAACAUCGAAUCAAUCCCCCACGCCUUUUCUCGUUCCGGUUAUGGACCGAGUAAUAGACAUCUCCGAUCAAGGUAGGGAUAGGAUUCCUCCGAACAAACAAGCGAAUGGCAUUAAUAUCCACAAAGUUCUUCUGGUUAGGAAACAGAAUGAUCCCAUAAAUGCCCGCAGCAAUCAAGGCACAGACAGCUUCC
RNAcentral lists this long non-coding RNA (202 nucleotides) under Lathyrus oleraceus (garden pea). RNAcentral describes it as "Pisum sativum (pea) long non-coding RNA (PSAT_LNC038221)". Lineage: Eukaryota; Viridiplantae; Streptophyta; Magnoliopsida; Fabales; Fabaceae. The record is from RNAcentral.